UACAGGGGGUACAAACGUUGCUCGGAAUCAUUGGGCGUAAAGCGCACGUAGGCGGUCUGUUAUGUCGGAUGUGAAAGCCCUUGGCUUAACUGAGGAAGUGCAUCCGAAACUGGCAGGCUAGAGUACUAAAGAGGGUCGCGGAAUUCCCGGUGUAGAAGUGAAAUUCGUAGAUAUCAGGAGGAACACCGGUGGCGAAGGCGGCGACCUGGGUAGAUACUGACGCUGAGGUGCGAAAGCGUGGGGAGCAAACAGG
RNAcentral lists this ribosomal RNA (253 nucleotides) under uncultured bacterium. RNAcentral's name for it is "partial 16S ribosomal RNA". It matches the Rfam family "Bacterial small subunit ribosomal RNA", at positions 524 to 776 of the family's 1533-position model. The record is from RNAcentral.